AACGAACGCUGGCGGCGUGCUUAACACAUGCAAGUCGAACGCGAAAGUUUUCUUCGGGAAGCGAGUAGAGUGGCGCACGGGUGAGUAACGCGUAAGUUAUCUACCCUGGCAUCUGGAAUAACUCACCGAAAGGUGUGCUAAUACCGGAUACGUUGGAGCAAUCCAAGAAAGGUGGCCUCUUCACGAAAGCUACUGUGCUGGGAGGAGCUUGCGUACCAUUAGCUAGUUGGCAGGGUAAAGGCCUACCAAGGCGACGAUGGUUAGCGGGUCUGAGAGGAUGAUCCGCCACACUGGAACUGGAACACGGACCAGACUCCUACGGGAGGCAGCAGUGAGGAAUAUUGCGCAAUGGGGGAAACCCUGACGCAGCGACGCCGCGUGGAUGAUGAAGGCCUUCGGGUCGUAAAAUCCUGUCAGAUGGAAAGAAG
This 428-nucleotide ribosomal RNA is filed under the name uncultured bacterium. RNAcentral's name for it is "bacterial SSU rRNA". It matches the Rfam family "Bacterial small subunit ribosomal RNA", at positions 29 to 450 of the family's 1533-position model. The record is from RNAcentral.